GAGACCUUUGUGCCUGGCUGAACUCAAUUCUUUUCUCUUCUAAGACCGCUACCACUAGGCUUGUGGUGUUUCUGAUGCGUCUUGCUUUGCUUUCUCUGCAACUGUUUGGCGAGUGAAAGAAGAAAUUAAACUAUGAGAAUUCGGCAUCCUGACUUUUUUGAGACCGGUCUUCCACUCCCUUCAUGAUUUUUGAGCUUCUCUGGGGUUCCUUUCAGCUCUGGUUCGGGGAGGGAGGAGCAGUUGGGGGGAGCGUCUGGAACCGCUGCCCGGAAGGAGGGGAAAGUCACCCUUCAUCUUUGUGACUAGUCCACUUGUUGGCCUGGACCGCAGUCUCCAGUAUUUAAGGACCACUGGUCGCCCCAGCAAGUCCCUGUUGAGGCCCUCCCAUAUAGUAAAUACUGUAUGCCACGCACCAGAAUGGAAAGAGAUUUGUUGGACACUUUGCUGUGAGCUUCCUAUCAUUAGCCUGUCAUUUGUGCCACCUUCCCUUCGAUUUGGCUUCAGAACGUGUCUCAAGGGGAUGAAAUUAACAUUGCCAGGAGUGUGUGGCUAUGAAGUCAACUCACUCAUGUGAAGUGGGAUUUAAAGGUGGUGUGGGACAAAAGGUCACCUAGGAUUAUCUGACGGCACACAUUCUUGAUGGAUGCAGAGAUGCGGGGCACUAGGAAGCAAAAAGUCAUCUCCACAGUGGAAAACUGGUCUUUCAUCCUUUUUGAAAAAGGACUCCAGCCAGAAGACAGAAAAGUACAGUCCUGGAAAUUACUGCAUCCUAGAGCUUGAAGAGAGAGAGCGGUGAUCUUCCCUUCUCUCAUUUUAUAGAGAGCUAGAACGAUUGUGUUGGCAUUGGUGCUUCUGAGAACCAGGUAUUAGCACCUGGUUUGGGACACGGUCAUGCUUGAGGGGAAGUAGGAAGACCAACUGGUACAACGUAAAACACUCUUGCUCAGGCCUUUCAGCAAAUGGUUAGGUACAAAGGCCAAGGGCAUUUUAGGUUCACUCUUACUCCUUUGCUCUGAGGAUUCUAAUUUCUUUUAGAAAAAUGAACUGACCUCCAGGCAAAGAAGGUAAAUUGAACUCUUUCUUAAUAUCUGCUCCCUCACCAAAAUGGCAAUGAGAGUUUUUAAAAGGGAUAACACCACCAACUUAGAGAAUGGAUAAAUAAAGAAUGAUAUGUCACCAUGUUUGCAUGGCCAUCAACUCAGAAUUACUUCAUGUACCCUUGGAGAAAGCAACAAGUACUUCUAAUUAAACUAUAACAUACUAUCCAAUGUAAGUCAUAUCAAUUUAAGAGAGAGGAAACCCAGAGGUAUUAACGCGUGAAAAAUCUUGGAACUGAGCAGUCUUAGAACUGCUAAAAUAGGGUACAUAGACAAGGUGGUAAAUAAUUUAUCAUAUCUAAGAAAAUAAGUCCUAAGCAGUAGAGAAGAAAAGAGCAUAAACCAAUUUAUAAGGAAAGUCUUGCAGAUGUUUAUGGGAGUGGGCAUAUGGGGCAUGAAGUCUAGCUUGCAAACAGGAGAUUGUUUGCAAAUCUGUUUAAAUAUCAGUCAGCCCCUAAAUUAUGACCCUAUCAUACACAGCUAGACAGAUUGCUUCCACCCAACACUGGCAAAGACUAGAGGUGAAUUAUCUGAAGACGAUGAAAUUAGAGUCUCUUAACUCAGAGGUACAAGGAAUAGCAUUAAAGUGGGUAUUGGAAGUUGGUAGGGGGAAUAAGUGAAAUUUUACUUACUACAUUUUGAGGCUCUCCUUUUCACCUUGCCCCCAGCCUCUACCCAUACACGGUUUUCAGAAUAGGGGCAAACACAUGUUCAAACUCAAAGCUGGAGCUUGAGAGAGCCUCGUCUGGAGUUCUGCAUGGAAGAAUCAUGUAGCGCUUUUCCUAGAAGAGCACAGCUUACCAGCUCUACUCACCAAGAGUCUGAUCAGCUCUCUGAAUUCCCACUCAAAUAGAAGUAGCCCGCUGGAGACCUUGAUAUGUUCGAAAGCCUAUAACAUGAAAGACAGAGUCUAAAAUAAACUGAAAAUCCUCACAAAACAGGAACUAUGCAAAGAGAAGAAAACAUAACAUUAAUAUCACAGAGAG
Molecule: long non-coding RNA, 2083 nt
Organism: Mustela putorius furo (domestic ferret)
Lineage: Eukaryota; Metazoa; Chordata; Mammalia; Carnivora; Mustelidae
Source: Ensembl